GUGGAGUCGAUCAGGUGUGGUCGUAUUUUGCUGAUGCUGCGUCUGCGUUCUUUCCAUGACCUUCGUUACUGAUACCAGUGGAAUAUGCCGGUCGCGUGGCUGCUUGGCCUUGCUGAGGUUGCAUUUUGUGUGUCCGGUGAUCGCCCUGCUGAUGUCGGUGAAUCGUACGAGGUUAUAUUGAAUCAUGGAUACUGACAUGUCUGGAGCUGUAGAGUGUAAGAAAAAGAAAAGGAAUAGAGGGAAGCGCAGGCCGUUCGUACCUCCUGUGGUCGAAGUGG
This is a long non-coding RNA of Bombus terrestris (buff-tailed bumblebee), 278 nucleotides long. RefSeq lists it as uncharacterized. The transcript is spliced from 4 exons. NCBI's taxonomy places the organism in Eukaryota, Metazoa, Arthropoda, Insecta, Hymenoptera, Apidae. The record is from RefSeq and is a predicted model, not a curated record.